AACGAACGCUGGCGACGUGCCUAACACAUGCAAGUCGAACGAGAAAGGGAUUUCGGUCCUGAGUAAAGUGGCGCACGGGUGAGUAACACGUAGGUAACCUACCUCUAAGUUUGGGAUAACCUGUCGAAAGAUGAGCUAAUACUGAAUAAGACCACAGUUUCCUCGGAAGCAGGGGUCAAAGGUAGCCUCUAUUUAUAAGCUAUCACUUAGAGAUGGGCCUGCGUACCAUUAGCAGUUGGUGAGGUAACGGCUCACCAAGGCAAAGAUGGUUAGCUGGUCUGAGAGGAUGAUCAGCCACACUGGAACUGAGACACGGUCCAGACUCCUACGGGAGGCAGCAGUGGGGAAUAUUGCGCAAUGGGCGAAAGCCUGACGCAGCAACGCCGCGUGAGUGAUGAAGGCCUUCGGUCGUAAG
RNAcentral lists this ribosomal RNA (415 nucleotides) under uncultured bacterium. Its description in RNAcentral is "bacterial SSU rRNA". It matches the Rfam family "Bacterial small subunit ribosomal RNA", at positions 29 to 429 of the family's 1533-position model. The record is from RNAcentral.